UCGCGGCCUAUCAGCUUGUUGGUGGGGUAAUGGCCUACCAAGGCAACGACGGGUAGCUGGUCUGAGAGGAUGAUCAGCCACACUGGGACUGAGACACGGCCCAGACUCCUACGGGAGGCAGCAGUGGGGAAUCUUGCGCAAUGGGCGAAAGCCUGACGCAGCAACGCCGCGUGCGGGAUGAAGGCCUUCGGGCUGUAAACCGCUUUCAGUAGGGAAGAAGCGAAAGUGACGGUACCUACAAAAGAAGCACCGGCUAACUAUGUGCCAGCAGCCGCGGUAAUACAUAGGGUGCAAGCGUUGUCCGGAAUUAUUGGGCGUAAAGAGCUCGUAGGUCGUUUGUUACGUCGGAUGUGAAAACCUGAGGCUCAACCUCAGGCCUGCAUUCGAUACGGGCAAACUAGAGUUUGGUAGGGGAGACUGGAAUUCCUGGUGUAGCGGUGGAAUGCGCAGAUAUCAGGAGGAACACCAAUGGCGAAGGCAGGUCUCUGGGCCAAUGCUGACACUGAGGAGCGAAAGUCUGGGGAGCGAACAGGAUUAGAUACCCUGGUAGUCCAGACCGUAAACGGUGGGCACUAGUUGUGGGAACCUUCCACGGUUUCUGCGACGCAGCUAACGCAUUAAGUGCCCCGCCUGGGGAGUACGAUCGCAAGAUUAAAACUCAAAGGAAUUGACGGGGCCCCGCACAAGCAGCGGAGCAUGCGGCUUAAUUCGACGCAACGCGAAGAACCUUACC
Molecule: ribosomal RNA, 733 nt
Filed under: uncultured Actinomycetes bacterium
Lineage: Bacteria; Bacillati; Actinomycetota; Actinomycetes
Description: bacterial SSU rRNA
Rfam family: Bacterial small subunit ribosomal RNA
Source: RNAcentral